ACUGAGGUAUCAAAAUUGGCACCGGAUCGAAAGAUUUUGAAUGAUACCCAGCCCUAUCAAGUUCUGAGGUUUAGUAUUAAACUUUAGUUCAUGUACAUAUGGCUUAUUUUACUUAAACAUUGCAGAUGUAUUGAUUAAUACAUAUUCUUGGAUACAAUCCUGCAGAGAACAGAGGCAUUCGGAGAGACCAUCACUUCAAAUGGAAAUGACCAGCUUGAAGGGGGAUCCAUACUGAUAAGGAUAAACAGCGGGUCCAGGACUUGGCCCAUGCCUGGGACCUCCCUUGCCUAACUGAGAAAAACAGGAGAUGGAUUUUUGAGAAGCUAUUGAUCCAUGCUGUACUUCAGCAACUCACAUGGCCUCGUGAGGAUAGUGACGAUGAUAAAGUUGACACCAAAUGCCGCAUAUCAGGCUAUCUUCGACAGUUCGUUGCUGAUGCAACACCAACUGAACUGACCGACCUGGUCAAAUUCUGGACCGGAUGGGAGAUUCUACCACCGAGUCUCUCUGUAGAAGUGGUCGAGGGCAGAUACCCCACAGCCGCCACUUGCUUUGAGACCUUGCACAUCCCAGGGCAUUACAAGGAUUACACAUCUUUUAAAUGUGACAUCCUGGUCUGUAUUUGCAGUUGCCAUACAGGAUUUGACUUGUAUUUACUUGAUUGUCCCUGCUUGUUAAUUCUGUUAAAAGAUCUGUUGUAAACUCUCACGCUCAAAGAAACCUUCAGGAACUUGUUAAUGUAUACUGAAUAUAAUUUCACACUGUUACUGAGAGUACUUUGCAGUAACCUUUGGCAAUAAAUGGUCAGUUCAUUGAGGUAAACGUCUGACUCUGAACUCCUGUGAAGCCCUCAUAACCAUUGAAAAGGUUCAUGAUCCUUUCACACGGUGUAAGGGGACUGACAGCAAAAGAGAAUAAAUGGCAGUAAAAAUUAGAAAAGGUUAUUAACCCUUUCUUCCCGUCGACCAUGCACUUGUCCUCCCGGGUCAAAAUUGACCCGGUCUGUUUGUCCAGUUUAUAAAGCAUGAAGUAUAAAUUAUCACCCAAUUCUGUUUUACAUCUUCUUAGCCAACUUCUUUCCAACCUAUUAUCACUAGUUUGCACUUAUUUUAAUAUAUGGUCAAAAUACCGCAGUUGUAUAAAAUUAUACCUCAUUUCUGAGUAAAAAAAAAAGCUGAAAUGAAUUAUUUUGACUAACUUGAGAUAAACCGGAACAUAUGUUGAUGGGUUAGCACAGACUGGUAUAAGUCAAAGUUUAGUCAGGAUACUGUUUUGAA
Molecule: long non-coding RNA, 1277 nt
Organism: Perca fluviatilis (European perch)
Lineage: Eukaryota; Metazoa; Chordata; Actinopteri; Perciformes; Percidae
Exons: 4
Source: RefSeq, a predicted model, not a curated record